UACAGAGGGUGCAAGCGUUAAUCGGAAUGACUGGGCGUAAAGGGCGCGUAGGCGGAAUUAUAAGUCAAGUUUAAAAGCCCCGGGCUUAACCUGGGAACGAGACGUGAUACUGUAAUUCUUGAGUAUAGGAGAGGAGAGGGGAAUUUCCGGUGUAGCGGUGAAAUGCGUAGAUAUCGGAAGGAACACCAGUGGCGAAGGCGCCUCUCUGGCCUAAUACUGACGCUGAGGUGCGAAAGCGUGGGGAGCGAAGAGG
Molecule: ribosomal RNA, 253 nt
Filed under: uncultured bacterium
Lineage: Bacteria
Description: partial 16S ribosomal RNA
Rfam family: Bacterial small subunit ribosomal RNA
Source: RNAcentral